CCCGGCAAUGAAUUGCCGGGCUAUUCUCAGCCGUCCCUGCGGGACU
Desulfobacteraceae bacterium IS3 is the source of this 46-nucleotide non-coding RNA. Lineage: Bacteria; Pseudomonadati; Thermodesulfobacteriota; Desulfobacteria; Desulfobacterales; Desulfobacteraceae. The record is from Rfam.